RNAcentral lists this ribosomal RNA (274 nucleotides) under uncultured bacterium. Its description in RNAcentral is "partial 16S ribosomal RNA". It matches the Rfam family "Bacterial small subunit ribosomal RNA", at positions 523 to 796 of the family's 1533-position model. The record is from RNAcentral.
AUACGGAGGGUGCGAGCGUUAAUCGGAAUUACUGGGCGUAAAGCGCGCGUAGGCGGCCUGAUCAGUCGGAUGUGAAAGCCCUGGGCUCAACCUGGGAAUUGCAUUCGAAACUGUCAGGCUAGAGUAUGGGAGAGGGAAGUGGAAUUUCCGGUGUAGCGGUGAAAUGCGUAGAUAUCGGAAGGAACACCAGUGGCGAAGGCGACUUCCUGGCCCAAUACUGACGCUCAGGUGCGAAAGCGUGGGUAGCGAACAGGAUUAGAAACCCCGGUAGUCC